This 252-nucleotide ribosomal RNA is filed under the name uncultured bacterium. RNAcentral's name for it is "partial 16S ribosomal RNA". It matches the Rfam family "Bacterial small subunit ribosomal RNA", at positions 524 to 776 of the family's 1533-position model. The record is from RNAcentral.
UACGGAGGAUGCGAGCGUUAUCCGGAUUUAUUGGGUUUAAAGGGUGCGCAGGCGGCACGGCAAGCCGGCGGUCAAAUCGCGGGGCUCAACCCCGCCCAGCCGUCGGAACUGCCGGGCUAGAGUGGGCGAGAAGUGCGCGGAAUGCGUGGUGUAGCGGUGAAAUGCAUAGAUAUCACGCGGAACUCCGAUUGCGAAGGCAGCGCACCGGCGCCCUACUGACGCUCAGGCACGAAAGCGUGGGUAUCGAACAGG